AUUGAACGCUGGCGGCAGGCUUAACACAUGCAAGUCGAACGAGUGGCGGACGGGUGAGUAAUGUCUGGGAACCUGCCUGAUGGAGGGGGAUAACUACUGGAAACGGUAGCUAAUACCGCAUACCAUCGGAUGUGCCCAGAUGGGAUUAGCUAGUGGGUGGGGUAAAGGCUCACCUAGGCGACGAUCCCUAGCUGGUCUGAGAGGAUGACCAGCAACACGGGAACUGAGACACGGUCCAGAUUCCUACGGGGGGCAGAGUGGGGGAAUAUUGCACAAGGGGGGCAGGCUGGAGACGGCCAUGCCGCGUAGAUGAAGAGGGCCUCCGGGUGGUAAAGUACUUUCAGCGGGGAGGCGUUACCCGCAGAAGAAGCACCGGCUAACUCCGUGCCAGCAGCCGCGGUAAUAC
RNAcentral lists this ribosomal RNA (406 nucleotides) under uncultured bacterium. RNAcentral's name for it is "partial 16S ribosomal RNA". It matches the Rfam family "Bacterial small subunit ribosomal RNA", at positions 29 to 526 of the family's 1533-position model. The record is from RNAcentral.